RNAcentral lists this ribosomal RNA (253 nucleotides) under uncultured bacterium. Its description in RNAcentral is "partial 16S ribosomal RNA". It matches the Rfam family "Bacterial small subunit ribosomal RNA", at positions 524 to 776 of the family's 1533-position model. The record is from RNAcentral.
UACAGGGGGGGCAAGCGUUGUUCGGAAUUACUGGGCGUAAAGGGCCAGUAGGCGUCCAACUAAGUCCGACGUGAAAUCCCAAGGCUUAACCUUGGAACUGCGUCGGAUACUGGAUGGCUUGAAUUCGGGAGAGGGAUGCAGAAUUCCAGGUGUAGCGGUGAAAUGCGUAGAUAUCUGGAGGAAUACCGGUGGCGAAGGCGGCAUCCUGGACCGGCAUUGACGCUGAGGAGCGAAAGCCAGGGGAGCAAACGGG